This 748-nucleotide ribosomal RNA is filed under the name Bacillus pumilus. RNAcentral describes it as "bacterial SSU rRNA". It matches the Rfam family "Bacterial small subunit ribosomal RNA", at positions 37 to 767 of the family's 1533-position model. The record is from RNAcentral. Lineage: Bacteria; Bacillati; Bacillota; Bacilli; Caryophanales; Bacillaceae.
GGGCAGUGGGGAGCUAUACAUGCAAGUCGAGCGGACAGAAGGGAGCUUGCUCCCGGAUGUUAGCGGCGGACGGGUGAGUAACACGUGGGUAACCUGCCUGUAAGACUGGGAUAACUCCGGGAAACCGGAGCUAAUACCGGAUAGUUCCUUGAACCGCAUGGUUCAAGGAUGAAAGACGGUUUCGGCUGUCACUUACAGAUGGACCCGCGGCGCAUUAGCUAGUUGGUGGGGUAAUGGCUCACCAAGGCGACGAUGCGUAGCCGACCUGAGAGGGUGAUCGGCCACACUGGGACUGAGACACGGCCCAGACUCCUACGGGAGGCAGCAGUAGGGAAUCUUCCGCAAUGGACGAAAGUCUGACGGAGCAACGCCGCGUGAGUGAUGAAGGUUUUCGGAUCGUAAAGCUCUGUUGUUAGGGAAGAACAAGUGCGAGAGUAACUGCUCGCACCUUGACGGUACCUAACCAGAAAGCCACGGCUAACUACGUGCCAGCAGCCGCGGUAAUACGUAGGUGGCAAGCGUUGUCCGGAAUUAUUGGGCGUAAAGGGCUCGCAGGCGGUUUCUUAAGUCUGAUGUGAAAGCCCCCGGCUCAACCGGGGAGGGUCAUUGGAAACUGGGAAACUUGAGUGCAGAAGAGGAGAGUGGAAUUCCACGUGUAGCGGUGAAAUGCGUAGAGAUGUGGAGGAACACCAGUGGCGAAGGCGACUCUCUGGUCUGUAACUGACGCUGAGGAGCGAAAGCGGACCCC